GCCAGCAUGGCAUAGUGGUUUGAGGAGCCUUGGACUAUGACUCUGGAGGCCAAGGUUCAAGUCCCUGCUCAGCCA
Phrynosoma platyrhinos (Desert horned lizard) is the source of this 75-nucleotide non-coding RNA. The record is from the annotation of a GenBank genome assembly. Lineage: Eukaryota; Metazoa; Chordata; Lepidosauria; Squamata; Phrynosomatidae.